GGAGGCGUCUGGGUUCCUGGUGGGCCCCGCGGUCUUCAAAACCGACGAGAGGGCGACGAGCUCUCUGGCGGGUUCGAUUCCCGUCCGCCUCCGC
Molecule: transfer RNA, 94 nt
Filed under: Actinomycetota bacterium
Lineage: Bacteria; Bacillati; Actinomycetota
Also listed under: 1 other name
Description: tRNA-Sec
Rfam family: Selenocysteine transfer RNA
Source: RNAcentral